GAUGAACGCUGGCGGCGUGCUUAACACAUGCAAGUCGAACGGAAAGGCCCAAGCUUGCUUGGGUACUCGAGUGGCGAACGGGUGAGUAACACGUGGGUGAUCUGCCCUGCACUUCGGGAUAAGCCUGGGAAACUGGGUCUAAUACCGGAUAGGACGAUGGUUUGGAUGCCAUUGUGGAAAGUUUUUUCGGUGUGGGAUGAGCUCGCGGCCUAUCAGCUUGUUGGUGGGGUAAUGGCCUACCAAGGCGUCGACGGGUAGCCGGCCUGAGAGGGUGUACGGCGACAUUGGGACUGAGAUACGGCCCAGACUCCUACGGGAGGCAGCAGUGGGGAAUAUUGAACAAUGGGCGCAAGCCUGAUGCAGCGACGCCGCGUGGGGGAUGAAGGCCGUCGGGUUGUAAACUCCUUUCGCUAGGGACGAAGCGUUUUUGUGACGGUACCUGGAGAAGAAGCACCGGCUAACUACGUG
Molecule: ribosomal RNA, 468 nt
Filed under: uncultured bacterium
Lineage: Bacteria
Description: partial 16S ribosomal RNA
Rfam family: Bacterial small subunit ribosomal RNA
Source: RNAcentral